This 585-nucleotide long non-coding RNA is filed under the name Homo sapiens (human). Its description in RNAcentral is "novel transcript". Lineage: Eukaryota; Metazoa; Chordata; Mammalia; Primates; Hominidae. The record is from RNAcentral.
UCAUGCUGGCAUCAUUCAUUCUCCACGCAUCAGAUGAUCCUGUGGCCCCUCAGUGCCAGGCCCCACUGGCCCUCUGCGCACAUCAGUGACUCUGAUGUUCUCCCCCACCGCAUGCUGCCAAUCUGAUGGUGGAGACAGAACAGCAGUCCCGGAUGGUGGAGGCAAUGCCCAGAGCUGUGGCAGCCACCUUGCAGCCGUGAAGCACCAGUGGGAAUGACAGUCAAGAGAACCACGGAGAUGCCAGCCCCUGGACCCACAGCAGCAGCACCUGCUUCCAGACUCAGAGUGUGAGAAAAAAAUAAACUCCUAUUUGUUUAUGGCAAGAGACAAGGUCUAGCUCUGUGAUGCAGGCCGGAGGACAGUGGUGUGAUCACAGCUCACUGCAGCCUUGAACUCCUGGGUUCCAGCAAUCCUCCCACCUCAGCCUCCUUAGUAGGCGUGGCUACAGGUGUGUACCACCAUGUCCAGCCCUAAAUUUCAUUCUUUUUAAUUUCAAUAUUGUUAUGUGUUUUCUAAUGUUUUAUAACUUAUUGGUAUGGUAGAUGUACAUGUAUACAAAUUAAAAGAAAAUUUAUAUAUAUUUUA